This 253-nucleotide ribosomal RNA is filed under the name uncultured bacterium. RNAcentral's name for it is "partial 16S ribosomal RNA". It matches the Rfam family "Bacterial small subunit ribosomal RNA", at positions 524 to 776 of the family's 1533-position model. The record is from RNAcentral.
GACAGAGGGUGCAAGCGUUGUUCGGAAUUACUGGGCGUAAAGGGCGCGUAGGCUGUAAAGUGUGUCUGGUGUGAAAGACCUCGGCUUAACCGAGGAAGUGCAUUAGAUCCUACUUUACUGGAGUGUGAGAGGGGAUGGCGGAAUUCCCGGUGUAGAGGUGAAAUUCGUAGAUACCGGGAGGAACACCUGAGGCGAAGGCGGCCAUCUGGAUCACAACUGACGCUGAGGCGCGAAAGCGUGGGUAGCAAACAGG